RNAcentral lists this ribosomal RNA (2259 nucleotides) under Listeria monocytogenes. RNAcentral describes it as "bacterial LSU rRNA". It matches the Rfam family "Bacterial large subunit ribosomal RNA", at positions 674 to 2925 of the family's 2925-position model. The record is from RNAcentral. Lineage: Bacteria; Bacillati; Bacillota; Bacilli; Caryophanales; Listeriaceae.
AAAGCGAGUCUGAAUAGGGCGCAUAAGUAACAGGUCGUAGACCCGAAACCAGGUGAUCUACCCAUGUCCAGGAUGAAGGUAAGGUAAUACUUACUGGAGGUCCGAACCCACGCACGUUGAAAAGUGCGGGGAUGAGGUGUGGGUAGCGGAGAAAUUCCAAUCGAACUUGGAGAUAGCUGGUUCUCUCCGAAAUAGCUUUAGGGCUAGCCUCGAGGUAAAGAGUCAUGGAGGUAGAGCACUGUUUGGACUAGGGGCCCUUCUCGGGUUACCGAAUUCAGAUAAACUCCGAAUGCCAUGUACUUAUACUCGGGAGUCAGACUGCGAGUGAUAAGAUCCGUAGUCGAAAGGGAAACAGCCCAGACCACCAGUUAAGGUCCCCAAAUAUAUGUUAAGUGGAAAAGGAUGUGGGGUUGCUUAGACAACCAGGAUGUUGGCUUAGAAGCAGCCACCAUUGAAAGAGUGCGUAAUAGCUCACUGGUCGAGUGACCCCGCGCCGAAAAUGUACCGGGGCUAAACAUAUUACCGAAACUGUGGAUGAACCUCUUUAGAGGUUCGUGGUAGGAGAGCGUUCUAAGGGCGGUGAAGUCAGACCGGAAGGACUGGUGGAGCGCUUAGAAGUGAGAAUGCCGGUAUGAGUAGCGAAAGAAGGGUGAGAAUCCCUUCCACCGAAUAUCUAAGGUUUCCUGAGGAAGGCUCGUCCGCUCAGGGUUAGUCGGGACCUAAGCCGAGGCCGAUAGGCGUAGGCGAUGGACAACAGGUAGAGAUUCCUGUACCAGUGCUAAUUGUUUAACCGAUGGGGUGACACAGAAGGAUAGGGAAUCGCACGAAUGGAAAUGUGCGUCCAAGCAGUGAGUGUGAGAAGUAGGCAAAUCCGCUUCUCGCGAAGCAUGAGCUGUGAUGGGGAAGGAAAUUAAGUACGGAAGUUCCUGAUUUCACGCUGUCAAGAAAAGCCUCUAGGAAGAGUAGUACUGCCCGUACCGCAAACCGACACAGGUAGAUGAGGAGAGAAUCCUAAGGUGAGCGAGAGAACUCUCGUUAAGGAACUCGGCAAAAUGACCCCGUAACUUCGGGAGAAGGGGUGCUCUAUUAGGGUGCAAGCCCGAGAGAGCCGCAGUGAAUAGGCCCAGGCGACUGUUUAGCAAAAACACAGGUCUCUGCAAAACCGUAAGGUGACGUAUAGGGGCUGACGCCUGCCCGGUGCUGGAAGGUUAAGAGGAGUGCUUAGCUUCGGCGAAGGUACGAAUUGAAGCCCCAGUAAACGGCGGCCGUAACUAUAACGGUCCUAAGGUAGCGAAAUUCCUUGUCGGGUAAGUUCCGACCCGCACGAAAGGCGCAACGAUCUGGGCACUGUCUCAACGAGAGACUCGGUGAAAUUAUAGUACCUGUGAAGAUGCAGGUUACCCGCGACAGGACGGAAAGACCCCGUGGAGCUUUACUGCAACCUGAUAUGGAAUGUUUGUACCGCUUGUACAGGAUAGGUAGGAGCCGAAGAGACGUGUGCGCUAGCAUACGAGGAGGCAAUGGUGGGAUACUACCCUGGCUGUAUGACCAUUCUAACCCGCCACGCUUAGCGCGUGGGGAGACAGUGUCAGGUGGGCAGUUUGACUGGGGCGGUCGCCUCCUAAAGAGUAACGGAGGCGCCCAAAGGUUCCCUCAGAAUGGAUGGAAAUCAUUCGCAGAGUGUAAAGGCACAAGGGAGCUUGACUGCGAGACUGACAAGUCGAGCAGGGACGAAAGUCGGGCUUAGUGAUCCGGUGGUUCCGCAUGGAAGGGCCAUCGCUCAACGGAUAAAAGCUACCCCGGGGAUAACAGGCUUAUCUCCCCCAAGAGUCCACAUCGACGGGGAGGUUUGGCACCUCGAUGUCGGCUCGUCGCAUCCUGGGGCUGUAGUCGGUCCCAAGGGUUGGGCUGUUCGCCCAUUAAAGCGGCACGCGAGCUGGGUUCAGAACGUCGUGAGACAGUUCGGUCCCUAUCCGUCGCGGGCGCAGGAAAUUUGAGAGGAGCUGUCCUUAGUACGAGAGGACCGGGAUGGACACACCGCUGGUGUACCAGUUGUUCCGCCAGGAGCAUCGCUGGGUAGCUAUGUGUGGCAGGGAUAAACGCUGAAAGCAUCUAAGCGUGAAGCCCCCCUCAAGAUGAGAUUUCCCAUUUCUUCGGAAAGUAAGAUCCCUGAAAGAUGAUCAGGUAGAUAGGUUUGGAGUGGAAGUGUAGCGAUACAUGGAGCGGACAAAUACUAAUCGAUCGAGGACUUAACCAAAA